UCCAGACUCCUACGGGAGGCAGCAGUGAGGAAUAUUGGUCAAUGGGCGCGAGCCUGAACCAGCCAAGUCGCGUGAGGGAUGACGGCCCUACGGGUUGUAAACCUCUUUUGCCGGGGAGCAACGGGCGCCACGUGUGGCGCCACUGAGAGUACCCGGAGAAAAAGCAUCGGCUAACUCCGUGCCAGCAGCCGCGGUAAUACGGAGGAUGCGAGCGUUAUCCGGAUUUAUUGGGUUUAAAGGGUGCGUAGGCGGAUCGUUAAGUCAGUGGUCAAAUUGAGGGGCUCAACCCCUUCCCGUCAUUGAAACUGGCGCUCUUGAGUGGAAGAGAAGUAUGCGGAAUGCGUGGUGUAGCGGUGAAAUGCAUAGAUAUCACGCAGAACCCCGAUUGCGAAGGCAGCUUACUAAACUGUGACUGACAUUGAUGCUCGAAAGUGUGGGUAUCAAACAGGAUUAGAUACCCGGGUAG
RNAcentral lists this ribosomal RNA (466 nucleotides) under uncultured bacterium. RNAcentral describes it as "bacterial SSU rRNA". It matches the Rfam family "Bacterial small subunit ribosomal RNA", at positions 330 to 793 of the family's 1533-position model. The record is from RNAcentral.